Molecule: ribosomal RNA, 499 nt
Filed under: uncultured bacterium
Lineage: Bacteria
Description: bacterial SSU rRNA
Rfam family: Bacterial small subunit ribosomal RNA
Source: RNAcentral
GUCAACUAGUUGUCGGAUCUAAUUAAGGAUUGGUAACGUAGCUAACGCGUGAAGUUGACCGCCUGGGGAGUACGGUCGCAAGAUUAAAACUCAAAGGAAUUGACGGGGACCCGCACAAGCGGUGGAUUAUGUGGAUUAAUUCGAUGCAACGCGAAAAACCUUACCUACCCUUGACAUGCUUGGAAUCUAAUGGAGACAUAAGAGUGCCCGAAAGGGAGCUAAGACACAGGUGCUGCAUGGCUGUCGUCAGCUCGUGUCGUGAGAUGUUGGGUUAAGUCCCGCAACGAGCGCAACCCUUGUCACUAAUUGCUAUCAUUUUUAAUGAGCACUUUAGUGAGACUGCCGGUGACAAACCGGAGGAAGGUGGGGAUGACGUCAAGUCCUCAUGGCCCUUAUGGGUAGGGCUUCACACGUAAUACAAUGGCGUGUACAGAGGGUUGCCAACCCGCGAGGGGGAGCCAAUCUCAGAAAGCACGUCGUAGUCCGGAUCGGAGUCUGC